GUGGUCCUACGGGAGGCAGCAGUGGGGAAUAUUGCACAAUGGGGGAAACCCUGAUGCAGCGACGCCGCGUGAGUGAAGAAGUAUUUCGGUAUGUAAAGCCCUAUCAGCAGGGAAGAAAAAAGACGGUACCUGACUAAGAAGCCCCGGCUAACUACGUGCCAGCAGCCGCGGUAAUACGUAGGGGGCGAGCGUUAUCCGGAUUUACUGGGUGUAAAGGGGGCGCAGACGGCCAUAGCAAGCCCGGUGUGAAAGGUG
This 255-nucleotide ribosomal RNA is filed under the name uncultured bacterium. Its description in RNAcentral is "partial 16S ribosomal RNA". It matches the Rfam family "Bacterial small subunit ribosomal RNA", at positions 333 to 603 of the family's 1533-position model. The record is from RNAcentral.